This 499-nucleotide ribosomal RNA is filed under the name uncultured bacterium. RNAcentral's name for it is "bacterial SSU rRNA". It matches the Rfam family "Bacterial small subunit ribosomal RNA", at positions 29 to 518 of the family's 1533-position model. The record is from RNAcentral.
AUGAACGCUAGCUACAGGCUUAACACAUGCAAGUCGAGGGGCAGCAUUGGAGUAGCAAUACUCAGAUGGCGACCGGCGCACGGGUGAGUAACACGUAUGCAACCUGCCUGUAAGCGGGGAAUAACCCGUUGAAAGACGGACUAAUACCGCAUAAUACUAAAUUACUGCAUGGUAAUUUAUUUAAACAUUUAUGGCUUACAGAUGGGCAUGCGCAUGAUUAGCUAGUUGGAGAGGUAACGGCUCCCCAAGGCAACGAUCAUUAGGGGUUCUGAGAGGAAGGUCCCCCCACACUGGUACUGAGACACGGACCAGACUCCUACGGGAGGCAGCAGUGAGGAAUAUUGGUCAAUGGACGAGAGUCUGAACCAGCCAAGUCGCGUGCAGGAAGAAUUGUCCUAUGGAUUGUAAACUGCUUUUGCAGGGGAAUAAAGUGCAUCACGUGUGAUGUUUUGUAUGUACUCUGCGAAUAAGGAUCGGCUAACUCCGUGCCAGCCGCCGC